UCCUCCUGCUGCUUAAGAGAGACAAAAAUGUCAGACACUUGCAGGCUAUUUCCUCCAUUUGGAGACCCCUGGCCUUUCUGCCUGUUACCCUCUCAUCUUCACCUUUUAAAAUAUUUGAGUUAUGGGGUGCUGUAUCACCUUCCAUCCUCAGACUCUGUCUCAGAUGUGAACUUUAUCUCACUUCUACAGUGUUUCAGCCUCUCCCAGUCUUCCUGCCUCUGUUCUUGUUUAUCUCUGAUCAGCUUGUAUUGUCAUUGUGAUAUACACAAGCAGCUUUGAGUCUCUUGUUUGCAUAAUCUCCCAUGGCACCUUCAUAGUUCUUUCUUUUAUGUCCACAGCAGAACUAUGCCAUCCAGUUUUCUUAGUCUCAAUAUACCAAGGAGGGCUGCUCAAAACUAUUAAGCUGAUUCUGUUUUUAAAAAUUGCCAUUUGACCUUUGUUGCUGGCUGUUUAUUUAUUGCCCAUAACACAUGUUUUUCAAAUCUCUACAAAUGUUAGUUUUUGGAAACCUGUACUCUUCCUCUUCAACUUUGUUCUCUUUAUGGAGAGCAUAUUAGAACAAACCCUUUUGAUUUCUCCAACACUUGCAUACUUCUCUCUACAAAAGAAAAACAAACAAAAAAUGUAUUCUCUGAUUAGAGUGAUUGCUGGAAGCAUGAUAGCAACAAAGUAUAUGAUGUUUAAAUAUCCAGCUUAGAAGUGCUGGUGGUUUAGGCACCAAGUCUGACUGUUGUGACCCUGUGAGCUGUAGCCCUCCAGGCUCCUCUGUCCCUGGGAUUCCUCAGGCAAGAAUACUAGAGUGGGUUGACAUUUCUUUCUCCCAGGGAUCUUCCCGACCCAGGGUUCGAACCUGGAAUUCCUGCCUUGCAGGUGGAUUCUUUACUGCUGAGCUGUCAGGGAAUCCUAUCCAGCUCAGAAUUCAAUAUACUAAAAUGUCAUCCCAGGUCUGUCACUUAGCCUUUCCAAGUCCCACUUGUCCCAUCUGUGAAAUGCUAUGGUUAUCAUACCUACCUCCUAGAGUUGUAAUGAGGAUUAUGUAAAUUUCCCAGCAUAAAUAAGUCACUCAAAAAUGCUUACGACUGGCUGCAUUGAUUGGAUGGGUUUGCCAGUAAUGACCUGGCCAACCCAGGGAGUGGUUCUCAGCCUAGGCUGCAUAUUGAAAUUGCCUAGAGAACUUUAGAAAAUAGAGAUUUGUUCUCUAGAGGUUCUGAUUCAGUUGAUCUGGGAUGUGGCCAGGUCACUAUAAUUUUUUUUAAACCUUACCAAGUGAUUCCAGUGAGUAGCUAUGUUUGAAAACUGUGUUUGAAAGCCAUAUUUAAAAGCAAGAUAUAAGAUUCUCUUCUUGGCAGAUUGUUAAAAGGAGACAGUGGGCUCUGUAAACAGACCUGGCAUGGUGCCUGCCUUCUAGAAGCUAUUUCUUUCCUGUGCUUUCAGGCACUCUCUUCUGCUGAUAACCGGGCUCUUUGAGAUGGGCCCCCAUCCAUCAUACUACUGCUGCUUAAGGAUGUAUGAAGGGUUUGCCUGCUGGCCCAAGACACUCCAGUUCAGACCUCCAGGACCUCCAGUCCAGGUCCUAAGGUUCAGAUUUGGCUGGAGGUAACAGCGCUCUGAAUUUCUUCAAUGAGGGAGGCAGUAAAGUCCAAGUUUGAGAGUGACUAUUUAUCAUCGCUCUGUUUAAGCUCCACUGAUCCAUUCUUCCCACACAUCAAUUAAGUCUAGGGUAGGUUUUUGGGUUACCAGAUGACACUAGUGGUAAAGAAUCCACCUGCCAAUGCGGGAGACGCAUGAGACAUGGGUUCGAUCCCUUGGAAUAGGAAAUGGCAACCCACUCCAGUAUUCUUGCCUGGAGAAUCCAAUGGACAGAGGAGCCUGGUGUGUUGCAGCAGUCCAUGGGGCGCAAAGAGUCGGACACAAUUAAUUAAGCACCUGAGCACAUACAAAUAAUUAAUGAAGUAGUUCUUUUUGACAGCAACCCAAAAAAGUUCAGUCCAGUCUGAUAAUCAGUCUAAUCCGUGAAAUAUUAAAACUGAAGCACCAUUCCGAGUGGAAACUCCGUGCUCUGCUGGUUUAGUCUUGCCUCUGGCUGGGAGGAGACUUGACCGGCCUCUUCUCUCUGCCCUCAGUCACUUUUCCUCCUCAGUCACUCCUCUGUGGUCAAACCGUGGGAAGAGUAGACUAGGAAUAAGUACAGUUUUGUGUGGCUGCCUCAGGUGUCCUCUGACCUUGGGGCUAUGGAGGCCCACACACAGGGCUGCUCUUUCUCUUUUAAGGGCCGCUGUGGGAGUUUCUCAGACACCGCCCUCCACAGACUUUUCUAGUGUGGUUCCUUUAGCGUGAGAAGUCAGUGUCUCUCCUUCAGCUGUCUUGUUCACCGCUCUCCCUUCAGUGCCUGGCUUCCUGGUAGGCUGGUUCCUCCCUGUUGGGGUCCUGGUGCUCUCAGGUUGUUUAGGAGUUCUCUUUUAUUGGGACCACAGGUCAGCUCCGUCUGUGGGGAAAGACAUUCAGUCAAGUAACGGGAACGGCUAAUGGAUACCUUGACAGUGGAAAUGCAGGUCUCUCCCAACUCAACCUGACUUUUCGCUGCUUCGCUGCCUCAGCCUCAUCUAGCCAAGUCCUUACAGCUUUUAACUUUUCAAAGGUGGAUUGGAUAUUCUUCCAUAGGUUCCUCAAGCUUCAGGGGGCACGUGUCCCUUCUCAAGGGACUAAGCAGAGUGAGGGGGAGGCAAGCCCCUCCUUACCACAGUGGGUGGGACGGGGGAAAGUCCAGAGCCUUCAGCUUAGCUCCCCAGAGAUGUCUGUUUCCUAUUUCUCCAUACUCUGAUGACUCCCCAAGGCACUUAUAGAUCUUUGACGGGACUGAUGAGCUAAAUGCUACAAGAAUCUGUUUUUAGACUGCCCCCUGCAGAUCCUGCUCAGGGGUCUAACAUCUCAAUAGGGAACAUGGAGCUUCUGAUAAAACGAGACUGAAGUAAUAGAAUACAUUACAUUUAAAUCCUGUUAACAUUAUUAAACAGUAAUAAUUUUGUUUAACAUUUUCCUUCCUUGGAUUACUUAAAACCUAAGAGAGCAGAAGUCUUGUUUGACUUAACUCAUAGUACACAGUGCUUGGCACAGUGUCUAGUAUAUAAAAAAAUGCUUAACAAAUAUUUAUUGAAUGAUGCAUGAAUCAAUCAAUAAAUGUCUUAUCUUUCUUGAAAUAUUUGA
Bubalus bubalis (water buffalo) is the source of this 3204-nucleotide long non-coding RNA. RefSeq lists it as uncharacterized. The record is from RefSeq and is a predicted model, not a curated record. The transcript is spliced from 2 exons. Lineage: Eukaryota; Metazoa; Chordata; Mammalia; Artiodactyla; Bovidae.